This 432-nucleotide ribosomal RNA is filed under the name uncultured bacterium. RNAcentral's name for it is "partial 16S ribosomal RNA". It matches the Rfam family "Bacterial small subunit ribosomal RNA", at positions 29 to 507 of the family's 1533-position model. The record is from RNAcentral.
GCGAACGCUGGCGGCAGGCCUAACACAUGCAAGUCGAACGAACUCUUCGGAGUUAGCGGCGGACGGGUGAGUAACACGUGGGAACGUGCCUUUUGGUUCGGAAUAACUCAGGGAAACUUGUGCUAAUACCGAAUGUGCCCUUCGGGGGAAAGAUUUAUCGCCAUUAGAGCGGCCCGCGUCUGAUUAGCUAGUUGGUGAGGUAACGGCUCACCAAGGCGACGAUCAGUAGCUGGUCUGAGAGGAUGACCAGCCACACUGGGACUGAGACACGGCCCAGACUCCUACGGGAGGCAGCAGUGGGGAAUCUUGCGCAAUGGGCGAAAGCCUGACGCAGCCAUGCCGCGUGAAUGAUGAAGGUCUUAGGAUUGUAAAAUUCUUUCACCGGGGACGAUAAUGACGGUACCCGGAGAAGAAGCCCCGGCUAACUUCGUG